RNAcentral lists this ribosomal RNA (253 nucleotides) under uncultured bacterium. Its description in RNAcentral is "partial 16S ribosomal RNA". It matches the Rfam family "Bacterial small subunit ribosomal RNA", at positions 524 to 776 of the family's 1533-position model. The record is from RNAcentral.
UACAGAGGUCUCAAGCGUCGUUCGGAUUCAUUGGGCGUAAAGGGUGCGUAGGCGGCGCGGUAAGUCGGGUGUGAAAUCUCGGAGCUUAACUCCGAAACUGCAUUCGAUACUGCCGUGCUUGAGGACUGGAGAGGAGACUGAAAUUUACGGUGUAGCGGUGAAAUGCGUAGAUAUCGUAAGGAAGACCAGUGGCGAAGGCGGGUCUCUGGACAGUUCCUGACGCUGAGGCACGAAGGUCAGGGGAGCAAACGGG